Molecule: ribosomal RNA, 1061 nt
Filed under: Vialaea insculpta
Lineage: Eukaryota; Fungi; Ascomycota; Sordariomycetes; Amphisphaeriales; Vialaeaceae
Description: eukaryotic LSU rRNA
Rfam family: Eukaryotic large subunit ribosomal RNA
Source: RNAcentral
CCUCGGAUCAGGUAGGAAUACCCGCUGAACUUAAGCAUAUCAAUAAGCGGAGGAAAAGAAACCAACAGGGAUUGCCCUAGUAACGGCGAGUGAAGCGGCAACAGCUCAAAUUUGAAAGCUGGCCUUCGGGUCCGCAUUGUAAUUUGUAGAGGAUGCUUUUGGUGCGGUUCCUUCCGAGUUCCCUGGAACGGGACGCCUUAGAGGGUGAGAGCCCCGUACGGUUGGACGCCUAUCCUUUGUAAAGCUCCUUCGACGAGUCGAGUAGUUUGGGAAUGCUGCUCAAAAUGGGAGGUAAAUGCCUUCUAAAGCUAAAUACCGGCCAGAGACCGAUAGCGCACAAGUAGAGUGAUCGAAAGAUGAAAAGCACUUUGAAAAGAGGGUUAAACAGCACGUGAAAUUGUUGAAAGGGAAGCGUUUAUGACCAGACUUUUUCCGGGCGGAUCAUCAGGGGUUCUCCCCUGUGCACUUCGCCCGGUGGAGGCCAGCAUCGGUUUUCGCCGGGGGAUAAAAGGUUGGGGAACGUGGCUCCUCCGGGAGUGUUAUAGCCCCUUCCAUAAUACCCUGGCGGGGACCGAGGUCCGCGCUUCGGCAAGGAUGCUGGCGUAAUGGUCAUCAACGACCCGUCUUGAAACACGGACCAAGGAGUCGAACAUUUGUGCGAGUGUUUGGGUGUUAAACCCUCACGCGUAAUGAAAGUGAACGGAGGUCAGAGCCGCAAGGUGCAUGAUCGACCGAUCCUGAUGUUUUCGGAUGGAUUUGAGUAAGAGCAUUAAUGUUCGGACCCGAAAGAUGGUGAACUAUGCGUGGAUAGGGUGAAGCCAGAGGAAACUCUGGUGGAGGCUCGCAGCGGUUCUGACGUGCAAAUCGAUCGUCAAAUCUGCGCAUGGGGGCGAAAGACUAAUCGAACCAUCUAGUAGCUGGUUACCGCCGAAGUUUCCCUCAGGAUAGCAGUGUUGUCUUCAGUUUUAUGAGGUAAAGCGAAUGAUUAGGGACUCGGGGGCGCUAUAUAGCCUUCAUCCAUUCUCAAACUUUAAAUAUGUAAGAAGCCCUUGUUACUUAAU